GAUGUUGUUGAUGAUGCUGUUGAUGAUGUUGUUGAUGGUAUUGAUGAUGAUGAUGAAUGGAAGGGCCGGGUUCGCGCGUGCGUGCACAGGGGGCUCCUAGCGCAUCAUCACCACCCGCGUUUGCGUUUUUAGUUAUUCAUAUUAAUUAUUGUCAUUACUUAGACAAUUCUGGAUCAAUCAGAUUACUCAAAAGAUGGUAUCUAUAUAUUUUUAUAUCAUCAUCUUUUUUUAAAUAUGUUAAUUUUUUACCAAUACAUUUUUUUCUGGGGGUGGUGGUGGGGGAAUGUGUAUAUUCGGUUAUUCAACAUCAAUUUAAAUGAAGUUCAAGGAUAGGUGCCAAUGCCCCCUGCCGCCCUCCCCAAGGCCAAUCCCUUAAUAUAACACGAUUGUUUAAUUCAUAGAUUGUUAGUUUUGGUGCCCUUCCCAGCACCUCCUAUUCGCAGGGUUUGUCUACAUACGAUGCGAAAUAAGUUUUAAACAUACAGACACAUCAAGAAUCAAUUCGCGGGCAAUUCGUUAACGGACUUGAAGAAACUGACUCAUACAUCGGCGCCAUCGUAACCUCGGAGCGGGAGUUGCACAUUUGCUGGAAUUCAUUCGUUUGUUCAUUUAUUGCGAUCGAUUACGAUGAGAUCCGAGUUAAGAAGCGCAUUUGGUCUGCAUUCACGCACGAGGUCAAAUUUUUUUUCCACAGUUUUCCUUUUCAAGUUCACCCCCCGUGAGUGCCCCGUCCAUUGAAGCGCAUCGCGGCGUCAAAUUCAUCCAUUCGUCCGUGGGGAUUCGUCGCGCUCAUCCGUCGAGGUGACGCUGAUGGCGCGAAGCAUCCGCUCGGCUCGGUGUUCGCUCGCCAACGUGCCGCGCCUCCUUCGCCGCUAGGCCCGAGAAGGGCGCGUGACCCGCAUGCGGCUGCCCGCAUUGUGACGUGCGCACGAGCACGUGCACGUGACCCUCGUCCGCCCCCCGCCACGUGCCGCCGACGUCGAGAGCAGUCGAAGAGAGAGAGGGGGGUGUGAGGGAGGGAGGGAGGGGAGGAGGACCCCGCGGUGCGAGUUUGAUUUGUCAUUGAUUUGUCUGUAACUGUUGUCGCUCGACUUCUUCUCGUCGUUUUCGUUUUUUACGUUUGUUCGAUUUUAGUUUUCUCUUCCUUCAACGUGCGCGGUGCCGCGCACUCAAAAAGAUACGACGAGAGAGACCGAUAUAUAUCCAGUAUUAGUUAUGCGUGAGACCCCCCCCCCACCCCCCUACACCCAACCCCUCCCCCCCGACCCCCCAAAACUUUAACCGCGAACUUUUCCACCUUUUAACCGUGAUCUGCCGUGCUUUGUCGCCACCCUUUGUAGAUUAUUAUCCGCGUUGUUAGUGUUAUUAGUUUUCAUUUGUUGUCGAAUUGAAUUAAAGCGUUCCGUCGAUUCGUGACCUUGUGUCGCA
Petromyzon marinus (sea lamprey) is the source of this 1428-nucleotide non-coding RNA. The record is from RefSeq and is a predicted model, not a curated record. NCBI's taxonomy places the organism in Eukaryota, Metazoa, Chordata, Hyperoartia, Petromyzontiformes, Petromyzontidae.